GUGAGGAAUAUUGGUCAAUGGACGAGAGUCUGAACCAGCCAAGUCGCGUGAAGGAAGACGGUUCUAUGAAUUGUAAACUUCUUUUGUGCAGGAAUAAAGUGGGUUACGUGUAACCUUUUGUAUGUACUGUACGAAUAAGGAUCGGCUAACUCCGUGCCAGCAGCCGCGGUAAUACGGAGGAUCCAAGCGUUAUCCGGAUUUAUUGGGUUUAAAGGGUGCGCAGGCGGGUUGAUAAGUCAGCGGUGAAAGUUUGUAGCUUAACUGUAAAAUGGCCGUUGAAACUGUCGAUCUUGAGUGCAAAUGAGGUAAGCGGAAUGUGUUGUGUAGCGGUGAAAUGCUUAGAUAUAACACAGAACACCGAUUGCGAAGGCAGCUUACUGGGAUGCAACUGACGCUCAUGCACGAAAGCGUGGGGAUCAAACAGGAUUAGAAACCCCGGUAGUCC
RNAcentral lists this ribosomal RNA (445 nucleotides) under uncultured bacterium. Its description in RNAcentral is "partial 16S ribosomal RNA". It matches the Rfam family "Bacterial small subunit ribosomal RNA", at positions 354 to 796 of the family's 1533-position model. The record is from RNAcentral.